UGGGGAAUAUUGGACAAUGGGCGCAAGCCUGAUCCAGCCAUGCCGCGUGAGUGAUGAAGGCCCUAGGGUUGUAAAGCUCUUUUGUGCGGGAAGAUAAUGACGGUACCGAAGAAAAAGCAUCGGCUAACUCCGUGCCAGCAGCCGCGGUAAUACGGAGGAUGCGAGCGUUAUCCGGAUUUAUUGGGUUUAAAGGGUGCGUAGGCGGGUCUUUAAGUCAGGGGUGAAAUCCUGGAGCUCAACUCCAGAACUGCCUUUGAUACUGAAGAUCUUGAGUUCGGGAGAGGUGAGUGGAACUGCGAGUGUAGAGGUGAAAUUCGUAGAUAUUCGCAAGAACACCAGUGGCGAAGGCGGCUCACUGGCCCGAUACUGACGCUGAGGCACGAAAGCGUGGGGAGCAAACAGG
Molecule: ribosomal RNA, 403 nt
Filed under: uncultured bacterium
Lineage: Bacteria
Description: bacterial SSU rRNA
Rfam family: Bacterial small subunit ribosomal RNA
Source: RNAcentral